CCUACGGGAGGCAGCAGUGAGGAAUAUUGGUCAAUGGGCGCAAGUCUGAACCAGCCAUGCAGCGUGCAGGAUGACUGCCCUACGGGUUGUAAACUUCUUUUCUACGGGAAUAAAGGCAGGCACGCGUGCCUUUUUGUAUGUAUUUUAUGAAUAAGGAUCGGCUAACUCCGUGCCAGCAGCCGCGGUAAUACGGAGGAUCCGAGCGUUAUCCGGAUUUAUUGGGUUUAAAGGGUGCGUAGAUGGGUUGUUAAGUUAGAUGUGAAAGUUUGCGGCUCAACCGUAAAAUUGCAAUUGAUACUGGUAGUCUUGAGUAUAGUUGAGGUAGGCGGAAUUCGUGGUGUAGCGGUGAAAUGCUUAGAGAUCACGAAGAACUCCGAUUGCGAAGGCAGCUUACUAAGCUGCCACUGACAUUGAUGCUCGAAAGUGUGGGUAUCAAACAGGAUUAGAUACCCUGGUAGUC
RNAcentral lists this ribosomal RNA (460 nucleotides) under uncultured bacterium. RNAcentral's name for it is "partial 16S ribosomal RNA". It matches the Rfam family "Bacterial small subunit ribosomal RNA", at positions 338 to 795 of the family's 1533-position model. The record is from RNAcentral.